CCUUGGCCGGCUGGAAUGUCACAGAAACCAAUGUCAAAUAAAUACAGGGCUUGCACUCCAUGUUGCAAAAAUAAGCAUGUCCAUUUGCUUGAAAGAAAAAAAAAAAAGUCUUUCAGAUGAGGGAACAUUUUCCAGUCAAUCACACAGCAGCAAAGUCAUCCUGUUGAAUUUGUGACUCACAGGCUCUCUGUGUCAAUAGACAGAGAGUGAGCCCAGCGUUAUGACUUCAGUGGGAGAUGAAGCAGAAGCUGGGAUGAGGCAGGGCUGGCUUUAAAGCAGAGCCCUGGGCUCUGACAAUAAAUAGCGGAGGAAAGUCUGACCACUCACAGGGAGCUCUUGAGGGAGGCCACCCUGGUCCGAAGUGCAUCUUACUUCUAACGUCUGCGUGGGCUCUAGCAAAGGAUCUAGCGGAAAAUACGGUUCAGGGAGUGUGUGAAGCCUGGGCCAACGCAGAGAACGAAGAGAAGACGUGGAGGUUUGUACACGCUUUCCAACCACCACCCGCUCACUCCAGCCCACUCUCCUGGGACCUGGGGAGAGGGAAAAAUUGGGGCAGAUCCUGAUAAAAGUUCAGUGAACAGACCAGUAUUUGCUGCUUAACCUCAGCGGUGUAGGAGAGCUUGGUUACUGCACAUUUCUCGCCAACACCGGGUAUCACGUGACUUUCAAUUUUAGCAGUUUUCCUGAGUCCAGGGAUGUCGCUUGAGGGUUUUAAUUUGCAUUUACGUGAUGCACCUUUUCAUAUGUCUAUUAGCCAUUUGGCCAUAGUGUGU
This 773-nucleotide long non-coding RNA is filed under the name Bos indicus x Bos taurus (hybrid cattle). Its description in RNAcentral is "lncRNA (ENSBIXG00005006116.1)". Lineage: Eukaryota; Metazoa; Chordata; Mammalia; Artiodactyla; Bovidae. The record is from RNAcentral.